RNAcentral lists this transfer RNA (55 nucleotides) under Dipodomys ordii (Ord's kangaroo rat). It matches the Rfam family "tRNA". From Rfam's summary of the family: Transfer RNA (tRNA) molecules are approximately 80 nucleotides in length. Lineage: Eukaryota; Metazoa; Chordata; Mammalia; Rodentia; Heteromyidae. The record is from Rfam by way of RNAcentral.
GGGAAUGUGGCUUAAUGGUAGAGUGCUUGCCUUGCAUGCAUGAAGUUCAAUUCCU